AGUGUGAAGGAGCAGAGAAAGCCGUGAUUUGUUUCAAUACCUUCUGCUUGUGCAAUUUUUGCUUCUUUCUAAAGGGGAACUUGGGCACGUUGUUGCGGUUGGAACAAGAAAGUGUCGAUGAGUUAAGCAUUUGAGGUUGAGCUGUGACGAGCACGGUGGGUGUUGAGCAGAGCUGGUAAAGAUUUGUGUUUGCUUUUAAUAUUCCGAAUAUAUUGUGUCUUCAUACAUAAUAUUAUUCUUCUCUCGAAAUGCUUCCGCUAAAUAUUGUUUCUUUUGAGUUCGUGUAUUGUUGAGAUAUUUUCAUUUGGAGUUGUCGAUUGU
Salvia splendens (bonfire salvia) is the source of this 321-nucleotide long non-coding RNA. RefSeq lists it as uncharacterized. The transcript is spliced from 3 exons. The record is from RefSeq and is a predicted model, not a curated record. Lineage: Eukaryota; Viridiplantae; Streptophyta; Magnoliopsida; Lamiales; Lamiaceae.